This 253-nucleotide ribosomal RNA is filed under the name uncultured bacterium. RNAcentral describes it as "partial 16S ribosomal RNA". It matches the Rfam family "Bacterial small subunit ribosomal RNA", at positions 524 to 776 of the family's 1533-position model. The record is from RNAcentral.
UACGGAGGGGACUAGCGUUGUUCGGAAUUACUGGGCGUAAAGGGUGCGUAGGCGGCGCGGUAAGUCGGGUGUGAAAUCUCGGGGCUUAACUCCGAAACUGCAUUCGAUACUGCCGUGCUUGAGGACUGGAGAGGAGACUGGAAUUUACGGUGUAGCGGUGAAAUGCGUAGAUAUCGUAAGGAAGACCAGUGGCGAAGGCGGGUCUCUGGACAGUUCCUGACGCUGAGGCACGAAGGUCAGGGGAGCAAACGGG